GUAUAAGCGACUAUACUGUGAAACUGCGAAUGGCUCAUUAAGUCAGUUAUGGUUUAUUUGAUGGUACCUACUACUUGGAUAACCGUAGUAAUUCUAGAGCUAAUACAUGCAGGAAGACCCGACUUCGGAAGGGUUGUAUUUAUUAGAUAAGAAACCAAUCCAGCUUGCUGGUUGCGUGCCGAGUCACAAUAACUGCUCGAAUCGCAUGGCUUCACGCCGGCGAUGGUUCAUUCAAAUUUCUGCCCUAUCAGCUUUCGAUGGUAGGAUCGAGGCCUACCAUGGCGUUUACGGGUAACGGAGAAUUAGGGUUCGAUUCCGGAGAGGGAGCCUGAGAGAUGGCUACCACAUCCAAGGAAGGCAGCAGGCGCGUAAAUUGCCCGAAUCCUGACACAGGGAGGUAGUGACAAGAAAUAACAAUACAGGGCUUCUAAAGUCUUGUAAUUGGAAUGAGUACAAUUUACAUCUCUUCACGAGGAUCAAUUGGAGGGCAAGUCUGGUGCCAGCAGCCGCGGUAAUUCCAGCUCCAAUAGCGUAUAUUAAAGUUGUUGCAGUUAGAACGCUCGUAGUCGGAUUUCGGGGCGGGCCGACCGGUCUGCCGAUGGGUACGCACUGGUCGGCGCGUCCUUCCUUCCGGAGACCGUGCCUACUCUUAACUGAGCGGGGGCGGGAGACGGAUCGUUUACUUUGAAAAAAUCAGAGUGUUUCAAGCAGGCAGCUCGCUCUUGCAUGGAUUAGCAUGGGAUAAUGAAAUAGGACUUUGGUGCUAUUUUGUUGGUUUCGAACACCGAAGUAAUGAUUAACAGGGACAGUCGGGGGCACUCGUAUUCCGCCGAGAG
This 836-nucleotide ribosomal RNA is filed under the name uncultured eukaryote. RNAcentral describes it as "SSU rRNA". It matches the Rfam family "Eukaryotic small subunit ribosomal RNA", at positions 63 to 908 of the family's 1831-position model. The record is from RNAcentral.